GGUGACCUCGUGGGAAGUCCUCGUGUUGCACCCUUU
RNAcentral lists this ribosomal RNA (36 nucleotides) under Chenopodium formosanum. Lineage: Eukaryota; Viridiplantae; Streptophyta; Magnoliopsida; Caryophyllales; Amaranthaceae. The record is from RNAcentral.